RNAcentral lists this ribosomal RNA (301 nucleotides) under uncultured bacterium. Its description in RNAcentral is "partial 16S ribosomal RNA". It matches the Rfam family "Bacterial small subunit ribosomal RNA", at positions 509 to 807 of the family's 1533-position model. The record is from RNAcentral.
CAGUCGCCACGGUAAUACGUAGGGUGCGAGCGUUAAUCGGAAUUACUGGGCGUAAAGCGUGCGCAGGCGGUCAUAUAAGACAGAUGUGAAAUCCCCGGGCUCAACCUGGGACCUGCAUUUGUGACUGUAUAGCUAGAGUACGGUAGAGGGGGAUGGAAUUCCGCGUGUAGCAGUGAAAUGCGUAGAUAUGCGGAGGAACACCGAUGGCGAAGGCAAUCCCCUGGACCUGUACUGACGCUCAUGCACGAAAGCGUGGGGAGCAAACAGGAUUAGAGACCCCUGUAGUCCCUGUCUCUUAUAC